AGAAGCGUGCCCAGACAAGGAUUAUUUUGAUGAAAUAAACACAGACAAUAUGCUCUCACUUCUA
RNAcentral lists this transfer RNA (64 nucleotides) under Phrynocephalus theobaldi (Theobald's toad-headed agama). RNAcentral describes it as "tRNA-Ile". Lineage: Eukaryota; Metazoa; Chordata; Lepidosauria; Squamata; Agamidae. The record is from RNAcentral.